GACGAACGCUGGCGGCGUGCUUAACACAUGCAAGUCGAACGCUGAAGCUUGGUGCUUGCACUGGGUGGAUGAGUGGCGAACGGGUGAGUAAUAAGUGAGUAACCUGCCCUUGACUCUGGGAUAAGCCUGGGAAACUGGGUCUAAUACUGGAUACGACAUGUCACCGCAUGGUGGUGUGUGGAAAGGGUUUUACUGGUUUUGGAUGGGCUCACGGCCUAUCAGCUUGUUGGUGGGGUAAUGGCUCACCAAGGCGACGACGGGUAGCCGGCCUGAGAGGGUGACCGGCCACACGGGGACUGAGACACGGCCCAGACUCCUACGGGAGGCAGCAGUGGGGAAUAUUGCACAAUGGGCGGAAGCCUGAUGCAGCGACGCCGCGUGAGGGAUGACGGCCUUCGGGUUGUAAACCUCUUUCAGCACGGAAGAAGCGAAAGUGACGGUACGUGCAGAAGAAGCGCCGGCUAACUACGUG
This 472-nucleotide ribosomal RNA is filed under the name uncultured bacterium. RNAcentral's name for it is "partial 16S ribosomal RNA". It matches the Rfam family "Bacterial small subunit ribosomal RNA", at positions 28 to 507 of the family's 1533-position model. The record is from RNAcentral.